CUCUUGGCCCUGCCUCAGUAUACCACUGAGCAUAAGUACAAACUCUGGAUGUUGAUCAGCCUCCCUUCCAUUACUCUGUUGUGUCUUCUCCUUCCUUGACUCCCAGAAGUCCACCAUGUAGGCCACACUGAUGAACCACACUGAUUCACAACUGUUGCCAGGUGAUGGCAAUAAAUAGACUAUGGAACUUGCUGGAAGGUCUCUAUGUGCUGUGUAUAAGUUUCAUCACACAACCCGUCAAUAAUGCCAGGAGUUACAGUGACUUCUAAGUUGGAAGCUGAAUUUGUUUUAUUUGCUUGCUACCAAGGUAAAGUUUGUUUGAACCAACUUAAUAGCAAAAUGCACUUGCUAUUUUCAAGACUUGGCCUUUUGGGGUGAUGGUGUGACAUCACAGGUACAGCUUCCACGUGCAAGAGCUCUGGAGAUGAGGUCGUUCUGGUGGGAGCAGGGUUGUAUGGAUCACUCUCAGUCCUUUCUCUGUUGUUUUUUCAUUCGCUUUGACCUGCAUGUGAUGAGAGCACCCCUGCACGUAAGGCUUGGUGAACUGCAGACAGUGCCGUGUCCUUGGAGCACUUCACGGCAAAACAACGGAUGGAAGUGAUGGAUAAAUCCACAUCAGGUGGGCUGGAAGAAGGGGCUAUAACUUGAAGUCUCCUUGGCAGGGAGAGACACUGUAAAUUACCCAAGAAGGGCAAAAUCUACCCCAAAGUAUCUGUGGGAGCUGAGGAGAUCAAAGCUGUGAGGAACAGCCCACUACAUGCUUGGCUGAAGAUUCAUGCGUGCAUCUGAACACCACCAUCCUCUACCAUUAAACCACGUGUCCAGCAAACCCUGGGACUCUGCAGCCCAGGCAGCUCAGCUCAGAAAGGACAAUUUCAAAAGUAUAGGUGGUUUAAAAUGAUUACUGCAAGGAGCAGAGCUGACAAACAGGUGAAAGGACAGUUGUUGAAAAAGCAUGUACUUCUUUGUCAGCAAUGAAAAGUAAAACUUGACAAGUGGA
Pseudopipra pipra is the source of this 1000-nucleotide long non-coding RNA. RefSeq lists it as uncharacterized. The record is from RefSeq and is a predicted model, not a curated record. The transcript has 2 exons. Lineage: Eukaryota; Metazoa; Chordata; Aves; Passeriformes; Pipridae.